Molecule: long non-coding RNA, 809 nt
Filed under: Homo sapiens (human)
Lineage: Eukaryota; Metazoa; Chordata; Mammalia; Primates; Hominidae
Description: PCBP1 antisense RNA 1
Source: RNAcentral
GAACACAAAAUGGCGACACGUGGUUAGCAUUCGUCGCCAACGAGAAAUUGGGGUCGGCCCGAAAGCUCUAGAAUGCACCCCUCUUCCUCCCCGGGGCCUUCCACCUCCGCGAGUUUUAUGACUUAAAAAAGCCCACAGGCUGGUCUGAAGGUCGGAGGCCUAAUUUUAACGCGUUUUCCUCCCUUUAAUUUGAAACGGGAACGCGAAUGACUGUAAAAUAGGAAGACAAACAUAAAGAUGAAGUGCUUAAUUCAAGGUCACACAAUGUCGGGGAUGGACCUCCAGAUUUCCUUACUGGAAAACAAGCUCAGGGCUCCCACUGAUUGUACAUUAUGAGACGGAGUCUUGCUAUGUUGCCCAGGCUGGUCUUGAACUCCUCACCUCAAGCGAUCCUCCCGUCUUGGCCUCCCAAGUGUCAGGAUUACGGGCAUGUGCUAUCACACCCAACCUGAUACAUUGCCUUUAUAAAUUUUUUUUUCUUUAUUCUAAAAACCAGAAAAAACAAAACUGGAUACAUGUGCAGAACAUGCAGACCAAGUGUGUUGGGGACUUGAGAUGCGUACAUGAGUGUGAUGUUUCCUGCUGAAAGCACAGGUGAGACGUGGUCUUGUAACACAGUGGUUAAGAAUGUGACUUUGGAGCCAGCCUGCUAGGGGCUGAAUUCUGACUCAGCCAUUUACUAACUGUGUGACCUUAGGCUGGAGUGCAAUGGCAUGAUCUCGGCUCAUCACAACCUCUGCUUCCUGGGUUCAAGCGAUUCUCCUGCCUCAGCCUCCCGAGUACCUGGGACUACAGGCACUCGCCACCAU